CUUUUCAAUGGUAGGUCCAGAAGAAGGACCUCCAGAUGGGACUGCUCCACCCCCUGAGAACUUACCAAGCUUGAUGAUGGGUUGAAGACUUUCUCCAAUUCUUUUUGGUGAUGCUCAAAUUCUUCCUUCUCAGCAGUCUGUUUCUGAUCCAGCCAGUUGGUUGUUUUGGUUAUAUUUGUCAAGGAUAUUCUGUUUGUCUUUACCACCAAUUUUGCUUUGUAGUUUCUCAUCCUCUAUAAGUCACUUCCUCUCUCUGGCUCUCUUGCAGAGACGUGGCUCUCACUCUCACUCGAAGAGACAUUGGUCUCUGUCGGCAGUGUGGGGAGUGCUGGAUGAUGUUUGGCGUCUUGGUGGUUUGCAUUUGCAGCUUGCGGUGAGGCUUCUUCUCUGAGCAACCUAAGUGAGUGAUUUAGGCAGAUUCCUUUUUCCUUCACCUCCUAAAGCACUAUUCUCUUAGGAGGCCCCUCAUCCAGGAGUAGACCUCGUGGCUGGAAGUCGAGCUAAUUUUAAUCUUCUAAGGAGGCCUCAUGACUGAGUUCUCUGAACUACCCUUGGCUUAGGCUAGGCCCUUUUCUUUCUCUCUUCUUCUUAAUUCCUUCCCUCUAUUUUAAUUAAACCACCUUAAAAUUCCAAGACUGACGAGUAUUUUUAUUGGGAUUGAAUUAAUCCCUGGUGACCACUAGUAUAAUAUAUUCAGUCAAUAACCCCUCAAUUUACCCCUUACAGUCAGGGAUGAACAAGUUUGAAAAUGCUGCUGUAGAGAAUGGGAUAGUGGGGUGAUAAGGGAGAUAUAAUAGAAUUAAUUGCAUAAUAGUAAUAAGGGUCUAGCUAAGAUUAUAUAGCAUAUAUUUUUUAAUUAUAUUUUAUUUGAUCAUUUCCAAGCAUUAUUCAUUAAAGACAUAGAUCAUUUUCUUUUCCUCCCCCCCAACCCCCCCACCCCCCAUAGCCGACGCGUAAAUCCACUGGGCAUUACAUGUUUUCUUGAUUUGAACCCAUUGCUAUGUUGAUAAUAUUUGCAUUAGAGUGUUCAUUUAGAGUCUAUCCUCUGUCAUGUCCCCUCAACCUCUGUAUUCAGGCAGUUGCUUUUCCUCGGUGUUUCCACUCCCAUAGUUUAUCCUUUGCUUAUGAAUAGUGUUUUUUUCUCCUGGAUCCCUGCAGAUUGUUCAGGGACAUUACACCGCCACUAAUGGAGAAGUCCAUUACGUUCGGUUAUACCACAGUGUAUUAGUCUCUGUGUACAAUGUUCUCCUGGUUCUGCUCCUCUCGCUCUGCAUCACUUCC
Molecule: long non-coding RNA, 1281 nt
Filed under: Monodelphis domestica (gray short-tailed opossum)
Lineage: Eukaryota; Metazoa; Chordata; Mammalia; Didelphimorphia; Didelphidae
Description: lncRNA (ENSMODG00000040650.1)
Source: RNAcentral